GCAAAGUCUGACGGAGCACGCCGCGUGAGUGAUGAAGGUUUCGGAUCGUAAAACUCUGUUGUUAGGGAAGAACAAGUGCCAUAGUAACUGAUGGCACCUUGACGGUACCUAACCAGAAAGCCACGGCUAACUACGUGCCAGCAGCCGCGGUAAUACGUAGGUGGCAAGCGUUGUCCGGAAUUAUUGGGCGUAAAGCGCUCGCAGGCGGUUCUUUAAGUCUGAUGUGAAAUCUUACGGCUCAACCGUAAACGUGCAUUGGAAACUGGGGAACUUGAGUGCAGAAGAGGAGAGUGGAAUUCCACGUGUAGCGGUGAAAUGCGUAGAGAUGUGGAGGAACACCAGUGGCGAAGGCGACUCUCUGGUCUGUAACUGACGCUGAGGAGCGAAAGCGUGGGGAGCGAACAGGAUUAGAUACCCUGGUAGUCCACGCCGUAAACGAUGAGUGCUAGGUGUUAGGGGGUUUCCGCCCCUUAGUGGG
RNAcentral lists this ribosomal RNA (478 nucleotides) under uncultured bacterium. RNAcentral's name for it is "bacterial SSU rRNA". It matches the Rfam family "Bacterial small subunit ribosomal RNA", at positions 375 to 847 of the family's 1533-position model. The record is from RNAcentral.